CCUACGGGUGGCAGCAGUGAGGAAUAUUGGUCAAUGGACGAGAGUCUGAACCAGCCAAGUAGCGUGAAGGAUGCCUGCCCUAUGGGUUGUAAACUUCUUUUAUAUGGGAAUAAAAUGUUCCACGUGUGGGAUUUUGUAUGUACCAUAUGAAUAAGGAUCGGCUAACUCCGUGCCAGCAGCCGCGGUAAUACGGAGGAUCCGAGCGUUAUCCGGAUUUAUUGGGUUUAAAGGGAGCGUAGGUGGAUUGUUAAGUCAGUUGUGAAAGUUUGCGGCUCAACCGUAAAAUUGCAGUUGAAACUGGCAGUCUUGAGUACAGUAGAGGUGGGCGGAAUUCGUGGUGUAGCGGUGAAAUGCUUAGAUAUCACGAAGAACUCUGAUUGCGAAGGCAGUUCACUGGACUGCAACUGACACUGAGGCUCGAAAGUGUGGGUAUCAAACAGGAUUAGAUACCCGUGUAGUC
This 460-nucleotide ribosomal RNA is filed under the name uncultured bacterium. RNAcentral's name for it is "partial 16S ribosomal RNA". It matches the Rfam family "Bacterial small subunit ribosomal RNA", at positions 338 to 795 of the family's 1533-position model. The record is from RNAcentral.